GAUGAACGCUGGCGGCGUGCCUAAUACAUGCAAGUCGAGCGAAUGGAUUAAGAGCUUGCUCUUAUGAAGUUAGCGGCGGACGGGUGAGUAACACGUGGGUAACCUGCCCAUAAGACUGGGAUAACUCCGGGAAACCGGGGCUAAUACCGGAUAACAUUUUGAACCGCAUGGUUCGAAAUUGAAAGGCGGCUUCGGCUGUCACUUAUGGAUGGACCCGCGUCGCAUUAGCUAGUUGGUGAGGUAACGGCUCACCAAAGCAACGCUCAGUAGCCGAGCCGAAAGGAUGAUCAGCGACACGAGUGCAGAGACUUGUCCCAGAACCCUACCGGCAGUAGCAGGAGGGAAUGGUCCGGCAUGGCCGAUAGUAUGACGGAUCAACGCUGCGGUAGGGGUGAAGGCUUUCUGUUCGUAGAACGCUGUUGAUAGAGAAGAACAAGUGCUAAUUGAAUAAGCCGGCACCUUGACGGUACCUAACCAGAAAGCCACGGCUAACUACGUGCCAGCCGCCGCCGUAA
Molecule: ribosomal RNA, 515 nt
Filed under: uncultured bacterium
Lineage: Bacteria
Description: partial 16S ribosomal RNA
Rfam family: Bacterial small subunit ribosomal RNA
Source: RNAcentral